Molecule: long non-coding RNA, 565 nt
Organism: Corythoichthys intestinalis (scribbled pipefish)
Lineage: Eukaryota; Metazoa; Chordata; Actinopteri; Syngnathiformes; Syngnathidae
Exons: 4
Source: RefSeq, a predicted model, not a curated record
UAGGCCUCCGUUUGGGCUGAGGUGGUCGAACCCACUGGGAAUGUUCCGAAUAGGAGCCUGGGAGCUAGAAUGCAAACAAUACUAAAAAACAGCUGGGCUGUUUCAACCUCACAUGAUGUACAACGCGAGCGAGACCCUGAGCCAAAGAAAAGAUCCAACGGGAGGGAACAUGUUUAAAGAUCAAUCAGGGAAAGAUGGAGGGAAAUCCUGUGUGUGUUGACGAAAAGCAGCACGACAAAAGGACAUCGAAAAAUUCUCGUGACACGAAAUGGACAAUAAAUACCAUAGGCACACAAGCAAGAAUUGAUGGCAUACAGUGUACAGUCACCCAGCAGGGUCACCCGCCACCACUCAGCAUUGAUGUGGCCUACCAAAUUAUGAGGGUGUGUGACUUAACAAAAGGUGCACUGUACAUACUAUACAGACCUCAUCCAGGACAAAUUCCUCCACGUCCACCACCUCAAAGGCAUCAUCAUCAUCAGUUUGUAGGGAUGUGACGGCAGCAAGAGCAGCCGCCAGCUUCUUCCUCAGGCAGAAGCCUCUCCAUCGCGCCUGGAUGUGGCAC